UACGUAGGGUGCAAGCGUUAAUCGGAAUUACUGGGCGUAAAGCGUGCGCAGGCGGCUUUGCAAGACAGAUGUGAAAUCCCCGGGCUUAACCUGGGAACUGCAUUUGUGACUGCAUGGCUAGAGUGCGGCAGAGGGGGGUGGAAUUCCACGUGUAGCAGUGAAAUGCGUAGAGAUGUGGAGGAACACCGAUGGCGAAGGCAGCCCCCUGGGCUAACACUGACGCUCAUGCACGAAAGCGUGGGGAGCAAACAGG
RNAcentral lists this ribosomal RNA (253 nucleotides) under uncultured bacterium. RNAcentral describes it as "partial 16S ribosomal RNA". It matches the Rfam family "Bacterial small subunit ribosomal RNA", at positions 524 to 776 of the family's 1533-position model. The record is from RNAcentral.